AAUCCGUUAAUUCAAUUCGAAUCAAUUCGAUCUGUGUGGUUCGAUUCAGUUUUCAAAUCUCAUGGUUCGGUGGUGGUUUGAAAAAUCUGUAAUUCGAUAUUCGCAGAUCAGUUAACAGAUUGGACUUUGAAAAAUCCAAUUUAAAUCGUUAACCGAUCCGAUCCGAACCGUUAUCGAAUCGAACAGUUAACCAAUCCGAACCGAAUCGUUAAAUAAAUAAUAUAUUUCACAUAUCUAUAUAUAUAUACACAUACACACACAAUAUGCCCCUUUUUUUUUUUUUUUUUUUUUCCUCUAUUCAUUAUUCUUUUAAUGUUAACCUAAUCUUAGCCUCGCCUCUUCAUUACUCUAAUCUCAUUUCAACCGCGCCUCUUCAUUACUCCAAUCUCAUUUCAGCCGCGCCUCUCUCACUAACUCAGCCUCUUCUCUCCACCCUCUUCAGUCUUCUCCUCUCGCCUCUGUGACACUUUUCGCCUCUGUCUUCCUCUCGCCUCUCAAUCUCUCGCCUCUCAAUCUAACACCUCUCAACCAUCAUUCACUAGAUUUGAAACAACGGCGACCUCUGCGUAUUGAAGCAACGGCGACCUCUUCGACUGGAUCUACCUUUUUUCCGGGUUAGCAUCGGGCCUUAACAUUUAGCAAGAAUAAGGUUCAAGAAAUAUGUCUCCUCAGUCAUUAGGUAACAAACUCUUACUUUUUCUAAAAUUUUAAUUGGCAUUUUUGGCUAUUGGUUACGUUUAUUUAUUCAUGUUUUACGUACUGCUUUUUUAUUUUUGUUUUUGUUUCUACAUACAUAUAUAUAAUAUUGUUAUGAUGUGAUGCUUGAACGAUCUUGUUAUGUUGUGAUGCUCGAACAAUUUAUUAAUGGGAAUUAAAGACUUGGAAGUUUAGUUUUUAAUUUCAGAAUAUAUGUUUUACAAGUUUAUUAACGCUUUUAAAACUUUUUCUCUUUUGUCCUAAUAAUAUAGGUCUUUUUUUUGAAAGAAGAGAGUCAAUAGGAAUGGGUGGAGUUGGCAAAAAAGAAAAUAGGUACGUUUUUUUGUUUAGCUAAUUGAAUUAUAUAAAUCUCAUUACCGUUGUAGCAGUGAUGUUGGUUUUAAAAUGACUAACUACGAUAGGAAGUCUCUUUCCAGUUUAUCUUAAUCAAAUGUAUAUUUAUGUAAUAGGAUUACGUGAUUAUAGAAUUACGUGAUUCUAGAUGACGAGUGAUGACAAUUGAUGAUGUUGAUAAGUGCUAUCUUCGGAAACAUCCUCUGUUCAUGGAUGAUUUAUUACUUUGAUGCCACAUGAUGUCGAUUAGCCUGCGCUGACGAAACUCAUCACAAUCUAAUGUAUUGAAGAAGACCCCAAAUAAAUGGUGUCCCAAUGGGUGGGACACCUUCAUCCCAAGUAAUGCAAUUACGAAAUCAGUUUGCAAAUAUUCGAUGCAGAAAAAGCGAAAAAGGCAUGCAGCAUCGUUCGGUACUCGUAGGCAUGAGGUGUAUUCUGACGAAGAAGUUGCAAUUGAGAUCAUUGAGAUGUUCCCCGGGUUCUUAUCUACCUUGCACGAGAUGUGGGUGAACAACAUUCCCUCUGACAACAUAUCAGAAUUUUCUUAUGGUUCUUUGUUUAGAAGACGAUUCUUCUUAAUCAAAUGUAUACUUAUGCAAUAGGAUUACGUGAUUCUAGAUGACAAUUCUUCCUAAUCAAAUGUAUAUUUAUGUAAUAGAAUUACGUAAUUUUAGAUGACGAUUCUAGAUGAGGAUUUUAAUGCUCUACUGAUGACGAUGAUGUUGAUAAGUGAUGAUGAGGAUGUUAAUUACUUCUGUUAUAUAUGUUGAUGCACUCAAAUUAAAUUUGU
Molecule: long non-coding RNA, 1840 nt
Organism: Cornus florida
Lineage: Eukaryota; Viridiplantae; Streptophyta; Magnoliopsida; Cornales; Cornaceae
Exons: 3
Source: RefSeq, a predicted model, not a curated record